CCUACGGGAGGCAGCAGUGGGGAAUAUUGGGCAAUGGACGCAAGUCUGACCCAGCAACGCCGCGUGAAGGAAGAAGGCUUUCGGGUUGUAAACUUCUUUUAAGGGGGAAGAGCAGAAGACGGUACCCCUUGAAUAAGCAACGGCUAACUACGUGCCAGCAGCCGGCGUAAUACGUAGGUGGCAAGCGUUGUCCGGAUUUACUGGGUGUAAAGGGCGUGCAGCCGGAGAGACAAGUCAGGUGUGAAAGCCACGGGCUCAACCCGUGAACUGCAUUUGAAACUGUUUCCCUUGAGUGUCGGAGAGGUAAUCGGAAUGCCUUGUGUAGCGGUGAAAUGCGUAGAUAUAAGGAAGAACACCAGUGGCGAAGGCGGAUUACUGGACGAUAACUGACGGUGAGGCGCGAAAGCGUGGGGAGCAAACAGGAUUAGAUACCCCGGUAGUC
Molecule: ribosomal RNA, 442 nt
Filed under: uncultured bacterium
Lineage: Bacteria
Description: partial 16S ribosomal RNA
Rfam family: Bacterial small subunit ribosomal RNA
Source: RNAcentral